This 253-nucleotide ribosomal RNA is filed under the name uncultured bacterium. RNAcentral describes it as "partial 16S ribosomal RNA". It matches the Rfam family "Bacterial small subunit ribosomal RNA", at positions 524 to 776 of the family's 1533-position model. The record is from RNAcentral.
UACGUAGGGGGCAAGCGUUAUCCGGAUAUACUGGGUGUAAAGGGGGCGCAGACGGCGAUGCAAGCCAGGAGUGAAAGCCCGGGGCCCAACCCCGGGACUGCUCUUGGAACUGCGUGGCUGGAGUGCAGGAGGGGCAGGCGGAACUCCUGGUGUAGCGGUGAAAUGCGUAGAUAUCAGGAGGAACACCGGUGGCGAAGGCGGCCUGCUGGACUGCAACUGACGUUGAGGCCCGAAAGCGUGGGGAGCAAACAGG